RNAcentral lists this long non-coding RNA (1061 nucleotides) under Felis catus (domestic cat). RNAcentral describes it as "lncRNA (ENSFCAG00000051735.1)". Lineage: Eukaryota; Metazoa; Chordata; Mammalia; Carnivora; Felidae. The record is from RNAcentral.
AUGAGGUCUGAUGUGAUGGAAAGAAGCAGAGCAGGGCUUGCUUGGAUUUUGAGUGGAGUCUUGGAGCAGGAAGAGUAUUUCUUCACAAGGAGCAGCUCACCUUUCUUUUCCAACCUCAGAGCUCAGUGUGGCCACAGUUUGUUCCCUGGCCACUGGCUCUGGGUUCUCCUUUCCUUUUCUCUCUCUUCAGUGCCUGGUGAAUCUAAAGUUUUAGGAAUGAAGAAGGAGAGGAGGUCAGAGAAGGUGUGUGGCUUGCUGGAUGGUGAACAAGUGAUCAGCAGUGAAUCCAGCGAGGAGGAAGAGCUCCCUAAGCUCUGAGCUCAGCACAGGGACGGGAACAUGGGCCAGAUGAGGAAGGCGAGGCUGGUGACUUGGGGCUGCAGACCAUCAGACAUCUGAAUUCGGAGCUCCUGCUUCCUGAUGCACUGUACUUGAGCACGCUCUACAGCCUGUGGUCCUGUCCGCCCUGGAAACACAUUCUCUGCAUUUAUCUCAUGUGCCAUUUUGGGAAAUGUGAGAGACAAGGCCCUAUUCAUUGAGCAUGUGUGCUCAUAUAUAAAUGUCAGAGUAGAAACAAACCAGCGUAUCUCUGUUUGUUUUUUCUUUUAUGCCAUCAUGCCUGUUGUGGUGUAACAAAAAAUAGGUACUUGGUCCUUGUCCCCCGUUCCUGGCACAGAGCUCCCCAAACCCUUGGAAUUUCCUGAGUGAUAAGAGUGUCUUUAUGCUAAUUAGAAGGUUAGAACUUUCAGCUCCACCCCUUGACCUCUGGGGAGAAAAGAGGUGGGCCAUUAAGUUCAAUCACCAAUGGCCAAUGAUUUAACCAAUCAUGCUUACAUAAUGAAACCUUGAUUAAAAAAAAAACCCUUGAACAGUGGGGUCAGGAGCCUCCAACUUGGUAAAUACACUGAUGCGCUGGGAGGGUUGGUUGCAUGCUGGAGAGGGCAUGGAAGCUCUGCACCCCCACCCCCACCCCCGCUCCAUCCCCAUACUCUGCCCUAUGCAUCUCUUCCAUUUGGUUGUUCUUGAGUUGUAUUCUUUAUAAUAAAACUGUAAUCAUAAGC